UACGGGGGGGGCAAGCGUUGUUCGGAAUUACUGGGCGUAAAGGGCUCGUAGGCGGCCAACUAAGUCAGACGUGAAAUCCCUCGGCUUAACCGGGGAACUGCGUCUGAUACUGGUUGGCUUGAAUCCGGGAGAGGGAUGUGGAAUUCCCAGUGUAGAGGUGAAAUUCGUAGAUAUUGGGAAGAACACCGGUGGCGAAGGCGGCUCUCUGGACCGAGACUGACGCUGAGGCGCGAAAGCGUGGGGAGCAAACAGG
Molecule: ribosomal RNA, 253 nt
Filed under: uncultured bacterium
Lineage: Bacteria
Description: partial 16S ribosomal RNA
Rfam family: Bacterial small subunit ribosomal RNA
Source: RNAcentral